UCCGAUUGAACGAGCAGGUCCGUAUCAUUAUUUAAGACAUUUACAAAAAAGAAUCGGGUCAUUUCACUAUCGUAUGAGGAAAUUACGGCCUUUUUAGUGAAGGAUUUAACUGCUGUUUUUCUGGUGCAUAACAGUCAUGCACUGUUAUAAAAAUCUCAGACUGUGUUCAUUUGGUAUUUUGAGCAUAUCGGGAGUUCUAGAGAUCGGAAUGGAGUGAUUCUUACGGGUUUCUUCUUGAAUUAAUAUGAGGGUUAGUAUUCAAUCUUCAAUUCGACAUUUUCUCAUAAUUUCCUUAUCUGGUUUUUUUCCCUAUCCGUAAACCUCUUGGGAAAAAUUGGGGUUUUAUCGAUUUGGACUCCCUUUUUGAUGAAAAAGGUAUAUUUACGAUCCUUAUGUUAUGGGUAAACUGAUUUUAACAUAAAAUUAUUGAUUCAUCGAUUAUUUUCAUCAUAUUAACCGCUUACAAUUUGGACUUUCCCGGUAAAGUUAAAGUUUGAUAAAUUGAGAAUUUCAAGGUCGAUCUUAACUCCGUUUUUGAUGAAAUUUCAUAUUUGAACUUAUCUAAGCAUGGGUAAGAUGUUUUUCAAGAGAUAUUUCAUUUUCGAGUCGGGGUUUCGGAUCCGAAUAUUUUGGGCUUCUUCAAGAACAUGAAUUUUCCUUCAAAUUGAGUUUGUGAACUCAUUUCAACUCCUUUUUCGAAACGGUUUUCACUAUUGGAUUCUAAAUUUCUUGGGGAACAUUUUUCACUAAAAAUUUCCAGAUUUCGAGAAUAUUUUCCGGAACGAGAUUUUUGACCAUUUUACCCUUGUUCUCCAAAUUUCACGAUAUUGGUGUUGUUAGAUUCGUAUUUAUUGUGGGAUUCCAUUUAUGAAUAGAUUGUGGUGAUUUGGAGCGUGCUCGGAAGGGUAAAACUCAAAUUUGAGUUACUAGUUGAAGUGUUUUGAGGCAAGUGACUUCUAAACUUUGUUAAACUCUUAGACUACACAUGACUACUUUCCUAAUUGUGUUGGGGAGUAAUGGGGAUUGAGGAUGAGUUUUAUUUGUUGAUUGAAAUUGUUGUAAAUGAAAGAUGGGGAAUAAAACAAGCUAAAUGUGUUAUUUAUAGGACUUAUCUGCAAAUUUUGGUGCAUUUUCGCUAACCCGAGAUUGGAUUUUUAUCGCAAAUAAGAAAUAAUUGUUUACCGAGUAGAAAUGAUAUUUGACUGGGCAAACGAGCAUGAAAUUGAGCUCCGAUUGAACGAGCAGGUCCGUAUCAUUAUUUAAGACAUUUACAAAAAAGAAUCGGGUCAUUUCACUAUCGUAUGAGGAAAUUACGGCCUUUUUAGUGAAAGAUUAACUGCUGUUUUUCUGGUGCAUAACAGCCAUGUACUGUUAUAAAAAUCUCAGACUGUGUUCAUUUGGUAUUUUGAGCAUAUCGGGAGUUCUAGAGAUCGGAAUGGAGUGAUUC
Molecule: long non-coding RNA, 1447 nt
Filed under: Solanum tuberosum (potato)
Lineage: Eukaryota; Viridiplantae; Streptophyta; Magnoliopsida; Solanales; Solanaceae
Description: long non-coding RNA (STUB_LNC000612)
Source: RNAcentral